UGCAACACCCUCUGUGACUGCGUGUUCUGACCUCCAGAAACGUUUGAUCCAUAAUGUUUUAGAGACAAUGAAGUAAAACCAACAUGUGCUCACCAACUAAUCAUCAGCAUCACGUGUGCUUGGGCUGCUGGUCCUGAUGUCCAGGUGUCUGAAGUUCCUGUUCUCAAUUAAUCACUGCAAUGUAUGGAACCUGCGUGGUAAUUGCUGUUAAGCCAUGCCUGCAGCUGGCUCCGGAUUGCUGCAGUGGAGGUAAUGGAUGCUGCAAGGAAGCACUGGCAGAGGAGGAGCGCAGGCUGUGAGGAAGGGCAUCAUACCUGUCCUUUGCAAUGAAGCAAGAAGGAGACUGGACUACGGGUCUGCCGCUCUCAGGUCAGGAGGUUAAAAUCAUUGAUGAGGACUCUCCAACGGGUGGCUUCGCAUUUCAUCUCCCUGCAUUGUCUACUCACAGCCCCGAGGAGGACGACGCGUUCACAGUCAAAGGUCAGUGUUUGAAAAACAGUUGGAAGGAUGUUUAAAAGUGCCCAAGAAACCAUUGGUGAGCUUUGGCCUUCUGAAAUGUUCACAGUGCUUUUCAGAUCUCCAGCCUACAAAUAGGCGCUUCUCCUGCUGGCAGACGCGGGUCUGAGGUUAAGCAGCUGGGGCGGUAACAGGCUGAUGAGCCCCAGUAUGUGCAGGAGGGACUGGUUGUGCUGGUGGUACUGGUGGACCCGAGUCCGGCAGCUCUCUCCGCUCUGGCAGCUGUCUCCUUUGUGCUUAGGCAAAUGUGGAAAGACCCCACCGGUAGCUCAUUACAAGUCACUCACUGGUUCUCCCCAUGCAGCUGCCUUUCCCUCGGGGUUGGAAAGGCUGCCCCAUAGCUCUGAGAGGAGGGCAGCAUUUCUCUGCGUCCUUCCAUGCUGGAUGUGCCAGACUGCACAGCAGGCCUUCUCCAGUGGUUGCAGGCUGUGGGGAGAAGCUUCUCCUUCCACGUGCUGCUGCUGCAGGAUGGUGCUGAGUGCUGCUGUGGUGCACGUGGGGUACAGGAGGCACCAGGCGGAGACACGGCCCCAGAGCAUGCGAGCAAGGCCAGUCACACACGGAUUUUGGGACUGUUCUUUGCAGGCUGCGUUUGCAAGGAGCCCUCAGUUUUAGCACCACCAAAACCACUUCUGUGUUCUCCUGAUGAUUUACCUCGUAAAAUGACAGUUGUAGAGCAAGCAAUUAAUUAAUCAGGUCUCAGGUUGUUAUCCUUGUCUUGGCUUGGAUUUGAUAAGAUGUUUGGGGUGGUUACACGAGAGAAGGCUCGCCCUCAUGGGUACGGGCCAACAAGUCCAGCAGCAGGGGACGGGUGGCCAAUAACGCCAUGCCAGAGAGGUUGUCCGGGCAGCACACACUUUCAUCUUAAUGAGGAAGAGAGCAAAAGCAAGUCUGUAACCUUUAAAUACGCACAUGCUUUAAGGGCAGGGGCAGAGGGAAGAGGGGGCAGGGAAGGGGGCUGUCCCUGCAUCGGCUGCUGGGCAGCAGCAGCCCCAUUGCCAGCAACCCCAUCGACGUGUGCUGCGGCUGGGUGGCACCAGACUGCGGGACUUGGACGUGCAGGGGAAAAAAAAAACAAACAUUUUCAGACCUGAACUUAAUUUUAUGUGUGACCUCUGUGGAAUGAAAGCUUCACUCAAAAGGGAAAGAACAUCCUAACCCGAUCUGCCCGGCCCUCUUUGCUGUCUAAGCCACAGAAGCUGCAUUAACCCACUGCUAAGACACUAAAAUACUCUUAGUUCAGCUAGGAAAAGCUCCUUUGCGCGUAGUCAGGGAUUAUAGCACUUGGUUCUGAAGGGUGAAACAUUCAUGUUUCUGGGGGAGAAGGCCUCUCUCUUCCACCUGCAAACACAAAGUCACCACGUCAGUCUCAGUGGCCGGUGCUUCCCCUCUGUGCGGUUCUGCCCGGCCCUCUCGUCUGAGCAAGGGUGCGCAUCGCUAUGGGGAGGAUGGAGGCUCAGCAUCAUUACUUUAUCCAGAAGUAAUUCGCUAUUUAUAAACCCACUAUCCUGGGUCAGCUGAAGAUAUGAUUAACUUAUGGCGAGCUUAGCAUGUAAGCUCACAAAGUUUAAGCUUGUGUCCAACUGCUUUCCUGGACUGGGACUCAGCCUCGAGGCUUGUUGCUGCAUUUGAUAAUGAGGGCCUGCUAAAAGACAAUUGCAGAGACACUUGCGUGGACCUGAAAUCAGAAAUGCCAAAUCAUUUCCUGCAAGACCCUGGGCAGGCACUGACUGUAAAAACUUACCCCUGCACUGCAGAGACCUGGGGCUGUGAACCGGUGACCUCCGGCGGAAAGGCUCUGUCCCUGCUUACUGGUGCCUCUGAAUCAUGCAGUCCCUCAAAAAUCUUCCCAGAAAAUGAACAAGUGGAAUACAAAUGACAGCGUUAGCUGUGUUUGUGGAGCAGAAGCAGCACAUAGGAAAAUAAGUGUAUUUGUUGCUCGAAAAUGUGAGGACACGGCAGUAUGUCUAUGUCUGUGCCGCGCUUCUUCCCUGGAUUAAUGACGAAACUUCUCACAAUGAACUUCUCCAAGCACAUUUUCUACCUAUGGCUGACUCAGGCAUUGUAUGCAUUUCUGAAGAACAUAUGCAUA
This is a long non-coding RNA of Cygnus olor (mute swan), 2608 nucleotides long. RefSeq lists it as uncharacterized. The transcript has 5 exons. The record is from RefSeq and is a predicted model, not a curated record. Lineage: Eukaryota; Metazoa; Chordata; Aves; Anseriformes; Anatidae.